This 1005-nucleotide long non-coding RNA is filed under the name Medicago truncatula (barrel medic). RNAcentral describes it as "long non-coding RNA (MTRU_LNC008139)". The record is from RNAcentral. Lineage: Eukaryota; Viridiplantae; Streptophyta; Magnoliopsida; Fabales; Fabaceae.
AUCCUACGAUACCACCACCUUCAACACCUCCUACCACACCACCACCAAAUCCUAGGACACCUCCUACAAAUCCUAGGACACCUCCUACAAAUCCUAGGACACCUCCUACCACACCACCACCAAAUCCUAGGACACCUCCUACCACACCACCAACAAAUCCUAGGACACCUCCGAAAAAUCCUAUGACACCUCCUACCAUACCACCACCAAAUCCUAGGACACCUCCUACCACACUACCACCAAAUCCUAGGACACCUCCUACCACACCACCAGCAAACCCUAGGACACCUCCUACCAGACCACCGACAAACCCCAGAACACCUCCUACCACAUCACCACCAAAUCCUAGGACACCUCCGACAAAUCCUAUGACACCUCCUACCACACCACCAGCAAACCCUAGGACACCUCCUACCACACCACCGACAAACCCGAGGACACCUCCUACCACACCACCGACAAAUCCCAGGACACCUCCUACCACACCACCACCAAAUCCUAGGACACCUCCGACAAAUCCUAUGAAACCUCCUACCACACCACCACCAAAUCCUAUGACACCUCCUUCGACACCACCACCAAAUCCUAGGACACCUCCUACCACACCAUCACCAAAUCCUAGGACACCUCCUACAAAUCCUACCACACCACCAACAAACCCUAGGACACCUCCUACCACACCACCGACAAAUCCUAGGACACCUCCUACCAUACCACCACCAAUUCCUAGGACACCUCCUACCACACCACCACCAAAUCCUAGGACACCACCGACAAAUCCUAGGACACCUCCUACCACACCACCACCAAAUCCUAGGACACCUCCUUCGACACCACCACCAAUUCCUAGGACACCUCCUUUUACACCACCACCAAUUCCUAGGACUCCUCCUACUACACCACCAUCAAUUCCAACAACACCGCCGCGUAAUUGUCCACUUUUAAGCUUGAAUGUUUGUGCCAACCUAUUGAAUAAAUUCGUGAUUAACCCAGGAUCCAAUCCUU